This 497-nucleotide ribosomal RNA is filed under the name uncultured bacterium. RNAcentral's name for it is "partial 16S ribosomal RNA". It matches the Rfam family "Bacterial small subunit ribosomal RNA", at positions 28 to 507 of the family's 1533-position model. The record is from RNAcentral.
GAUGAACGCUGGCGGCGUGCCUAAUACAUGCAAGUCGAGCGAACAGACGAGGAGCUUGCUCCUCUGACGUUAGCGGCGGACGGGUGAGUAACACGUGGAUAACCUACCUAUAAGACUGGGAUAACUUCGGGAAACCGGAGCUAAUACCGGAUAAUAUAUUGAACCGCAUGGUUCAAUAGUGAAAGACGGUUUUGCUGUCACUUAUAGACGGAUCCGCGCCGCAUUAGCUAGUUGGUAAGGUAACGGCUUACCAGGGCAACGAUGCGUAGCCGACCUGAGAGGGUGAUCGGCCACACUGGAACUGAGACACGGUCCAGACUCCUACGGGAGGCAGCAGUAGGGAAUCUUCCGCAAUGGGCGAAAGCCUGACGGAGCAACGCCGCGUGAGUGAUGAAGGUCUUCGGAUCGUAAAACUCUGUUAUUAGGGAAGAACAAAUGUGUAAGUAACUAUGCACGUCUUGACGGUACCUAAUCAGAAAGCCACGGCUAACUACGUG